UGCGCGGCAUGGUCGUGUCUCCUUGAGCACCAAAGGCGCAGAAAACAUAACUUGAAAUUGUGCGGGAUUACGGGCGCGGCUCUCUGCUCGUCCCUCCAUCCCCGGGUGUUGCACCCGGCAUGCGGGGCCGGUGUGCGUGGGCGUGUGCGUGGCUCCGGCUGCGCUGCGUUCCACCGCCGGCACCGUGCCGCAACAUACCGCGAGUGCGCAGGAUGUGACCCGAAAGAUGGUGAACUAUGCCUGAUCAGGUUGAAGUCAGGGGAAACCCUGAUGGAGGACCGAAGCAGUUCUGACGUGCAAAUCGAUUGUCAGAAUUGGGCAUAGGGGCGAAAGACCAAUCGAACCAUCUAGUAGCUGUUCCCCUUCCGAAA
Molecule: ribosomal RNA, 371 nt
Filed under: Armigeres durhami
Lineage: Eukaryota; Metazoa; Arthropoda; Insecta; Diptera; Culicidae
Description: eukaryotic LSU rRNA
Rfam family: Eukaryotic large subunit ribosomal RNA (bases 220-357)
Source: RNAcentral